Molecule: ribosomal RNA, 253 nt
Filed under: uncultured bacterium
Lineage: Bacteria
Description: partial 16S ribosomal RNA
Rfam family: Bacterial small subunit ribosomal RNA
Source: RNAcentral
UACGUAGGUGGCAAGCGUUGUCCGGAAUUAUUGGGCGUAAAGCGCGCGCAGGCGGUCCUUUAAGUCUGAUGUGAAAUCUUGCGGCUCAACCGCAAGCGGUCAUUGGAAACUGGUUAACUUGAGUACAGAAGAGGAAAGUGGAAUUCCACGUGUAGCGGUGAAAUGCGUAGAGAUGUGGAGGAACACCAGUGGCGAAGGCGACUUUCUGGGCUGUAACUGACGCUGAGGCGCGAAAGCGUGGGGAGCAAACAGG